RNAcentral lists this ribosomal RNA (367 nucleotides) under uncultured eukaryote. RNAcentral's name for it is "SSU rRNA". It matches the Rfam family "Eukaryotic small subunit ribosomal RNA", at positions 592 to 960 of the family's 1831-position model. The record is from RNAcentral.
CAAUAGCGUAUAUUAAAGUUGUUGCGGUUAAAAAGCUCGUAGUUGGAUUUCUGCUGAGGACGACCGGUCCGUCCUCCGGGUGAGCAUCUGGUUCGGCCUUGGCAUCUUCUUGGUGAACGUAUCUGCACUUGACUGUGUGGUGCGGUACCCAGGACUUUUACUUUGAGGAAAUUAGAGUGUUUCAAGCAGGCAUACGCCUUGAAUACAUUAGCAUGGAAUAAUAAGAUAGGACCUUGGUUCUAUUUUGUUGGUUCUAGAGCUGAGGUAAUGAUUAAUAGGGAUAGUUGGGGGCAUUAGUACUAACUGUCAGAGGUGAAAUUCUCCCGAUUUGGUUUAAAGACUAACUUAUGCGAAAAGCAUUUUGCCA